CCUACGGGGGGCUGCAGUGGGGAAUAUUGGACAAUGGGCGAAAGCCUGAUCCAGCCAUGCCGCGUGUGUGAAGAAGGCCUUCGGGUUGUAAAGCACUUUCAGUGGGGAAGAAAGCCUUGGGGCUAAUACCCUCGAGGAAGGACAUCACCCACAGAAGAAGCACCGGCUAACUCCGUGCCAGCAGCCGCGGUAAUACGGAGGGUGCGAGCGUUAAUCGGAAUUACGGGGCGUAAAGCGCGCGUAGGCGGUCUGAUAAGCCGGUUGUGAAAGCCCCGGGCUCACCCUGGGAACGGCAUCCGGAACUGUCAGGCUAGAGUGCAGGAGAGGAAGGUAGAAUUCCCGGUGUAGCGGUGAAAUGCGUAGAGAUCGGGAGGAAUACCAGUGGCGAAGGCGGCCUUCUGGACUGACACUGACGCUGAGGUGCGAAAGCGUGGGUAGCAAACAGGAUUAGAUACCCCUGUAGUC
Molecule: ribosomal RNA, 465 nt
Filed under: Vreelandella stevensii
Lineage: Bacteria; Pseudomonadati; Pseudomonadota; Gammaproteobacteria; Oceanospirillales; Halomonadaceae
Description: partial 16S ribosomal RNA
Rfam family: Bacterial small subunit ribosomal RNA
Source: RNAcentral